This 61-nucleotide transfer RNA is filed under the name Sagaminopteron nigropunctatum. RNAcentral describes it as "tRNA-Thr". It matches the Rfam family "tRNA". From Rfam's summary of the family: Transfer RNA (tRNA) molecules are approximately 80 nucleotides in length. Their secondary structure includes four short double-helical elements and three loops (D, anti-codon, and T loops). Lineage: Eukaryota; Metazoa; Mollusca; Gastropoda; Cephalaspidea; Gastropteridae. The record is from RNAcentral.
UUCGAAAUAGCUUAUUUAAAGCAUUGAUUUUGUAAUUCAAAGAUGGAUUUUCCUUUCGAAU